GCUAGAGAGUGAUUGAGUUGAUGACCAACCUCAUUUUAGCCAUCUGCACUUUGUAAAAGUUCUUUUGUCACACUUUCCAUCCAUUUCUCCUUCUGAAGAAUUUCCACAGGACAAUGUGGGGAUUUUUCAUCCAACAGCUGCACAGUGGGAGGACAGAAGGAAAGUUCAUUUUCACAGAGAUGACUUCCUGAGAAGUAAAAGGUCUAAAUGUAACUGCAAUAUAAAUGGAGAAAGACAUUAGGGGUUCAGCCAGUCCUCUGCCUGGGCAGGAAAGCUGGGGCAUCUCUGCCCAAGGAAAAAGAGUUUUGGUGCUCCCUGGGACAGUGCUGGCUCAGCCAACAGCUCCUGCUGGCUCUUGGGCUCUGC
This 366-nucleotide long non-coding RNA is filed under the name Serinus canaria (Common canary). RNAcentral's name for it is "lncRNA (ENSSCAG00000003144.1)". The record is from RNAcentral. Lineage: Eukaryota; Metazoa; Chordata; Aves; Passeriformes; Fringillidae.